RNAcentral lists this ribosomal RNA (230 nucleotides) under uncultured bacterium. Its description in RNAcentral is "partial 16S ribosomal RNA". It matches the Rfam family "Bacterial small subunit ribosomal RNA", at positions 562 to 791 of the family's 1533-position model. The record is from RNAcentral.
AAAGCGUGCGCAGGCGGUUUUGUAAGACUGUCGUGAAAUCCCCGGGCUCAACCUGGGAAUGGCGAUGGUGACUGCAAGGCUAGAGUUUGGCAGAGGGGGGUAGAAUUCCACGUGUAGCAGUGAAAUGCGUAGAUAUGUGGAGGAACACCGAUGGCGAAGGCAGCCCCCUGGGUCAAAACUGACGCUCAUGCACGAAAGCGUGGGGAGCAAACAGGAUUAGAUACCCCAGU